ACUCAUGAGUACCUUUUAUUGUGUCUACGGUGUGGUAUGGGGUACGGUUGGUCAGUACGGGUGUCGUGGAUGUUGACGAUGUUAUAUUUGUGAUCCGUAAAGAAGCGCAAGAUCGGCCGGGAAAAAGCAUCAUCGACAUUCCUGAUGUGGUGGUUUAUUUCGCUCGGACGAUGGGAAAUAACAGGAUAAUGGAGCGCUCGGUGUAGUUUUCCCAUCACAUUUUGUCCGCAUUGUCUGGGUAAUGGCGAUGGUAGGGGCUCGAACCAGUAGGCACAUGAUGGCUUUCCCGGGGAUGGCCUCUGCUACAUCGCAACAGGCUAUCUUAGCCGCUGCCCAACCCUAUUACCAAUCUUCCCAAAACAUCCAGCCGGACAGACCUAUUGGUUACGGAGCUUUCGGAGUCGUGUGGUCUGUUACAGAUCCAAGAGAUGGAAAAAGAGUAGCUUUGAAGAAAAUGCCAAAUGUCUUCCAGAAUCUUGUCUCUAGUAAACGUGUUUAUAGGGAGAUCAAAAUGCUCUGCUAUUUUAAACACGAAAACGUUUUGUCAGCUUUGGAUAUCCUUCAGCCACCGCACAUUGACUUCUUUCAGGAAAUAUAUGUUAUUACUGAACUCAUGCAAAGUGAUCUCCAUAAAAUCAUUAUUUCUCCACAACCCCUUACUACUGACCACAUCAAAGUCUUUCUUUAUCAGAUACUCAGAGGCCUCAAAUACCUUCAUUCGACACAUAUCUUGCAUCGAGAUAUCAAACCUGGUAAUCUGUUAGUCAAUAGUAACUGUGUACUCAAGAUAUGUGACUUUGGCUUAGCCCGUGUUGAAGAGCCAGAUGAGAGCAAACAUAUGACCCAAGAAGUUGUCACUCAAUACUAUCGUGCUCCGGAAUUACUCAUGGGUGCCCACCACUACACAUCUGCCGUUGAUAUCUGGUCUGUUGGAUGCAUAUUUGCUGAACUACUUGGAAGACGAAUACUGUUUCAAGCACAAACACCCAUCCAGCAGCUGGAACUCAUCACAGAUCUUCUGGGCACUCCCUCACUGGAAGAUAUGAAGUUGGCUUGCGAAGGAGCCCGUGCCCACAUGACUCACCGACCACAUAAACCUCCAUCGCUUGCUGCUCUAUAUACUCUCUCUUCACAAGCGACACAUGAGGCUGUACAUCUGUUAUGUCAGAUGCUAGUUUUUAAUCCAGAUAAAAGGAUUUCUUGUACUGAUGCCUUGUCUCAUCCCUAUUUGGAAGAGGGAAGACUCCGAUAUCAUUCCUGUAUGUGCUGCUGCUGUCAAACGACAACUGCGGGACGACAUUAUGUGUCUGAUUUCGAACCCAUUGCUCCUCAUCCAUUUGAUGAUUCAUUUGAAAGAAACUUAUCAUCUGUACAUCAAGUAAAAGAACGCUUGCAUAAAUUUAUCUUGGAGAGAUGUGCAAAUUCCACUCGUGUACCCCUAUGUAUAAAUCCCCACUCAGCAGCAUUCAAAAGUUUUGCCACUUCCUGCUGACGUAACUACUCCUUGAAAGUCGUUUUUGUUUUUUCAACCGGUGUGAAACGAUAUCCAGCCAAGCGGUCUUUCGACAAUGGAAAAAGGAGAAAAUUGUUAAGAUCAAAAUCUGGAUAGGGAAAAUGUUUGAAAAUUUUUCAUUCAAACUGCUAUAGUGAGUCCAUUGUAGCACAUAUGGCUAUGAAUUUUUUUGAAGGAAAUAAUUCUUCGGCGAAGAAAUAUCACAUGCAAAUACUAUUGCUAUAUAUCAGCGAGCACUCAAAGUAUCUACUGCUAAACUUCUUUAUUUGCAAAAAUUUGAACAAUUGGAAUUCUUUGUGGCAUUCAGCAUAACUUAGCUGUUACACUGAAUUAUCACUUCACAACUUGAUGUAUUUAAGGGCUAUGCUGUAAUGCAUUCUAAGUACAAUGCUAUAAAUAUGUAUAUACUACUACUGCACUUCCUGCAGUUCAACUGUUGCUCAUCCAUCAGAACUGCCACCUUCUCCACAUCAAUGGGAAUGAAAUUAGUCUGAACAAUACACUUUUGCCAAAUAAAUGCUCUAGCAGUCAAAUGAGUGUUUGCUAUGCAACAUCUUUGUUUUUAGUCUAAGAGGUCUCAUUUAGAAUUGUCUCCAGACCUCUUAAUUUAUUUCUACAUUUCUACUGACUCUUCCUUUAAUUUUUUUUGCAUGUUUUUUUAAUUAUUAUUUAAUUUAAAUGGUGGUCAAAUUGAAAGCAGCUACAUCAUACUGCUGUUACAGAAUUUGUACCGUCGACAGCAUGCAGCUGAUAUUCCACCCAAGACUGUUUCUUAUGUGUUACUAAUAGUCCAUGUUUUCAAGAAUGUUAGAUUAUGUCGCAUUUUGCAGUUUAUGGAGGAGCGCUGACAUCUUUUUGGAUCUGUUGGAAUGCAGAAUGUUACACUCUUGCAUCGGUAUCACUGACUAUAACCGCAAUUGCAUUUGUUGCGGAAGACCCAGCAAAGAAGAAACUCGAAUGCCACCAGUUAUGUAAAAUGACAGUUUUAAAGCUCCCAAAAUGCAGAAACUGCCAAAAAUUUCAGAGAUAUUUGACUGACAAUUUGUGAAAGUUAAGUGUGAUAUGGAAUCUCCAAGUAUUUAACUAUUUGUGAUCUUAGGAAGAUAUUCGACAUAUUGCCAUACGUUGUUUUUUUGACAUUUGGAUUGUGUCGCUAUAACUACAUUGUAUUGUUUGGUAUAGGUAUCGAUGCAAAAUUUAAUCUGUGGAUGCACAAUGUAUCAAUGUUAGAGUAAAGCACGGAGACAAAGAAUAUAUAAAAGGAAAACGUAACGUGGUUGGAAAAAUUGGCUGCGUUACAUAUCUCUACAAUAAGGAAUAGGGAAUUUGGUUAAAUUAGAUAGUUUUUUUUGUGUUGUUGCUCACAUCAUCACAAUUUUCAUCAUUGUAAUUCAUAAUGCAUAUUUGUAUAUACUCAUCCACUUGUGACUAAUUUCUCUGCAGCAGGGAUACACUCGCCACACUUUAUAUUAUCAGUGUGGCUGUAUUGUCCUUUUAUGGAUAUAUAUCUCGUUUUUUUUUUUUUCCUUUUCAUUAGCAGGAGUGUCAAAUGAACCACUCAAACGACACUCGCCUGUUUCGUAUUGAAAAAUUAAAUCAUACAUUGUAUGAAUUUUGUUCAGAAUGGGAAAUUUAUUUUAUUCCUGUUGUUUAAUGGAAAAGCUAAUUUAAUCCAAACGAAUAUUUGCAAAGCCGCCAAUGAAAGAUUAACCAAAUGCAACAGGAAUUAUAUUCAAUAGAUUUUAAAAUAUUAAUAAUAACCAGUAAUUAAAAUUUAUUUCAAUUUAUUUAUGAUUAUGUGUGUGUGUAUGUGUGUAUAUAUGUGUAUAUAUAUAUAUUAUAUAGGGUAUAUAUAUAUAUUCAUAUAUUCCUUUGUAUGUUUAUGUUGCUCUAUUUUAUUAGUUCGCAUCGAAUGCAAUCAGAAAUUAUGAUUUUAAUCACGUUACUGCAUUCCAGAUUUGCAUACUGAAAACUUUUUUAAAAUAUUUAAAUUAUUAAGUCCCUUUAUUAAUCAGUUCUCAUUUACUUUCAUUUGGAUCUCAUUGAAAAUUCAAAAUUGCUAACGUUAAUGCAGGUCUGAUUAGAUCUUUUCUGUUGUGGGCAUUUGUCGCUGUGAUUCCAUUGUGCACAUUAAUCUAGUGAUUUUUUUUAAUGGUCAGUACAUCGAAAAGCAUCCUAUUUAUACAGUAUUUGUUUUAAAAUGCAGUAUAUUUAGCAAUGUAUUAGUGCGUUGAGUUUUUUCCAAACGAAAACCUUAAGCAAAACCUGAUUACUAUCUCGAAAAUUCCAGUUUGAUAAAAUGAGCUUUUCAGUUAUUGCCUUAUCACUGUGACGUAACGAUUGUGAUCAGGUUUGGACACAUUGUGUUUUUAUUCUCGAUGCCACACUUGCUUUGGGAGAAUGCCUCACUUUAGCUUUCAUCAAAAUUAUAUUUUAAGUAAAUAUUGAAUUGUGUAUCCAUUAAACUACUGACCCAAAGCAUUCCAUUUACAGUUUAUCAAAAUAUUAAGGUGUAUUUUAUUCCGUGAUUCGUACAAGUCGAGCAGACAUAAGGUAAUAGUUUAAGUCAGUAUGCCAUUAUUAUUAUCAAUAACUAAUAUAAAACAAGGGCCGGCAUAAGUGAAGCGCCAAAUUAAUGUAGUUUUCCUAAUAACACUGCAAUAGCUUGGUUAAUUGUACUUAUUUAUUAAAUCUAAAACUAAAAAGCAAAAAAAUGAUUAAUGCAAUUGUAUGUAUCAAUCAUAUUAUUCUAGUGAUUUAGUUUUCUUCAUAUUUCAACUGUACAUUUCUAAUCUAAGAAACAAUUUCUGUGAGUGUUGAGUAUUGGCUAUGGGAUUGGGUUCUCGUGAGAAUAUAUAUCAGUAUUUGUGCAUUCCCAUUCUCGGUCCAUUUGUUGUGAUAAUUGUAGUUAUCUCUUGCCUAGAUAGGCAUUUGUGAAUACCUCAUGUAAGGCAUAAGAAAAAUAAGAAUUAUAUGGUGUAGCUAAUUGGAACUAUCAAAUAUUUACGUGCUGUUGGCAAAGAUCAACUUCUAAAGUCUCGAAUAUAUCCACUCUUUGAUUCCAUUAAUGUAUUUGUUCUUUAAUAGAUUUAUUGACUUGAAAAAUUUUUGGGGAUUUAGGUCUAUAAUCACUUCUUGCCACGGCAUAUUUAGGCUAUAAUAAUAAUAUCCAUCGUGCACUCGUGUAGAAUAGUUCUUUGUUCCGAAUUUCAUUCGUUUCCACCGUGGGUACGUAGCGAGUUCCACCGUAUUAGUCGGUGCCGAGCGGAAUAGACUGCCGCUAAUUACGAAAAGUUACCACAGUUGUUGUAGAAAUUGAGAUGGAAAAAAAUAUCAAUACUUAAUACAAAUCAGAUUGUACAGGUUACUUGAUUUAUUAUUGUUAGGUGAAAAUCAGCUUAAAACUUCCUAUAGAAAAAAAAACAAACUCUUUGCUUGUGAGAUUGAAACUCACUGAACAAAAUCCAAGUGCUGAUGUAUGCACAAACAGUAUUUUCCAGUGGUUCUUUUCACAUUUGAAAGGAAAUAACUGCAGAUAUUCCUUGCUGUAAAUAGUAGACAUUUAUCUGUAUGCUUAAUACCUGCAGUUUUCCAUGUUGUUAACGUGUAGUGAUUGGCACAAUUUGUUGUGGCAUUUUUUGUCACAAAAUAAAAAUUCCUUCCAAUGUAACACUGCCAUUCACUGGUCUGCGAUUGGUGACAUCAUGAUCUCACCCCUAUCACUAAAUCGGUAUUCACUCUUGUACAGUAUGUAAUGCCAGCAUUUGUUUUAAACCGUUUUCAUUUAACGUUCAUUUCAUUAAACCGUUCGUUGAGGAUCUUUUCAAAAACUAAACGCUCGAAAGCGAAAGAACGCUCGGAAAGCACAAAGCUCAAGAAAUUCCGGCCUUUUCGGUUUAAAUUAACAGUUUUACGAAGACGUAAUUAACGUUCCUGAAAAUUAAAGCACCACGGAUUGGUGCGCUGUAAAGAAAACACACACAAAAGAAACAAAUGCUGGCAAAUAUUAAUUUAGAAAAGUUAUACCUACUGUAUGCAAUGUUCAUUUGUUAGUAGGUAAGAUUUUUUCAUUGGAAGGGGACCUAUCUGUACAGUACCUGGCAAUACAUUUAUGUAUUACCACAUACAGUUGCCUUCUGUAACCAAUGUGCCCUUUCUAGAAAUUCUCUGGUGUUUUAGUAGAUUAGAUUGGUGUUGGAAGUAUGAAGGUGCAGGUUUGCCAAUAUUAGUAGAAUGGAAAGAGAAAAUAAAAAAACUUUAACUGCGCAUCCAAGAUCAGUUUUUGGAAGUGCAGAUAACAUUUGUGUAUAAAAUAAUAAUAAUAAUAAAAAAAUGAACAAAUAAUGGAUUUACUGUUAAGGUGUGCCUUUAUGUCAGAUCAUAAAAAGUUGAUAGCCUUAAAUGUUGAAAAAAAAGAAAAAAAAGAAAAAAUAGCAAACAAGCGAUUUGUUUGGAAUUGCAUUGCAUUGUUUUACUUUGUUUUCCAUAUGCUUUUUGUAUCCAAAAAUCUAGUAACCACUUUGAAAAGACUACUUUUGUGCGUCUGUGCCUUUACUUUGUGAAAGUCUCAAAAGGUAGCUUUUUAGAUAAAUGUUGUGCUAGGUUGUGCUCUUUAAACCACCAACUUUUGUCAAUGUAUUUUUAUGGAUAGUAAGAAGAGUUACGAGUAAUUAAAAAAAGACACCCUUCGUAUCACUUCUGCUACCAGACGUAGCACUGUAUGGCAAUUUUGUAACGUACACUCACAUCCAAGUGUGUAGUUUUAGUUGUGUGUGAGACGGUGCACCUUUGACAUUUUUAAGCCAGUUUUGUUGUCGAGAAAAAUUUUAUUAGAGUAAGCGUCGACGGAUACCUAAGCAUUAUAUAGUUUUACCAGAGAAUUGUUACCCGUCACAUUAGGGAAUCUACGUUUACCGAUUAAAGCAUCCGAUCUUCGAUUUUUCAUAUCCCUUAAGGCAUUAUGUAACGCAUUGUUUACUUUGUAAGUUGGCACGUGGCGAUGCUUUAAUUAGUAAUUCGAAGUUUGGCCGAAGUAAUUUAAUGACGAUCGUAACAUCAUUAACUACUUCGGUCUCGUACUGUUACACUUCAGUCUUUGGACAGUGUAAUCGGUAGCUUUCCCUUCCAGUGACUGGUUGUAGAUGUGGAUUGUCAUUUUUACACAGAUUUGCAAUAAAAAAAAUACCAUGUAAAUCACA
This is an RNA transcript of Centruroides sculpturatus (bark scorpion), 6711 nucleotides long. It is a transcript of the gene named serine/threonine-protein kinase NLK-like, with no coding region annotated. NCBI's taxonomy places the organism in Eukaryota, Metazoa, Arthropoda, Arachnida, Scorpiones, Buthidae. The transcript is spliced from 11 exons. The record is from RefSeq and is a predicted model, not a curated record.